RNAcentral lists this long non-coding RNA (352 nucleotides) under Nicotiana benthamiana. RNAcentral describes it as "long non-coding RNA (NBEN_LNC040364)". Lineage: Eukaryota; Viridiplantae; Streptophyta; Magnoliopsida; Solanales; Solanaceae. The record is from RNAcentral.
CCCGCAACAAAGCCAGUGUUGCUUUCGAGGGAUCAACUGCUCGUUUUCGAUAUAGAACUGGAUAAUCAAAAACAGCGUCUCUUUUAUUUUUUUUGGAAUCGAGCGAAAUGAUAUGCUGAAACGGGUACUAGCUUGAAAACCGCCGCAGAACGAAGCAACGCUGUCGGUUGAGGCCUCACCGGGCUUUCAUAAAUCAGUCUCUCAACAAUCAGUAUUUCUUAUGAAUAGUAGGGCACUGAGGGAGAACUUAUCGACGACAAAAAAGACGAGGUUUCUGUUGGAGGGUCCCUGACGCCCCGAGUCAAAUGGAAUUGAAAAGACUUUUUUUAUAUUUAUAAACAAGGUGGCAUCU